This 155-nucleotide unclassified non-coding RNA is filed under the name Arxotrichum gangligerum. Its description in RNAcentral is "Chaetomium gangligerum partial internal transcribed spacer 2". The record is from RNAcentral. Lineage: Eukaryota; Fungi; Ascomycota; Sordariomycetes; Sordariales; Chaetomiaceae.
CAACCAUCAAGCCCCCGGCUUGUGUUGGGGACCUGCGGCUGUCCGCAGGCCCUGAAAACCAGUGGCGGGCUCGCUAGUCACACCGAGCGUAGUAGCAUACAUCUCGCUCAGGGCGUGCUGCGGGUUCCGGCCGUUAAACGACCUUCAUAACCCAA